UCCUGGGCUACACACGUACUACAAUGGGUCGGUACAGAGCGAUGCGAAGCCGCGAGGUGGGGCAAAUCGACACGAAAAUCAUCCGUAGUUCGGAUUGGAGUCUGAAACCCGACUCCAUGAAGGUGGAAUCGCUAGUAAUACGCGCAUCAGCAUGGCGCGGUGAAUACCGGUUCCCGGGCCUU
RNAcentral lists this ribosomal RNA (182 nucleotides) under uncultured Spirochaetaceae bacterium. RNAcentral describes it as "partial 16S ribosomal RNA". It matches the Rfam family "Bacterial small subunit ribosomal RNA", at positions 1207 to 1382 of the family's 1533-position model. Lineage: Bacteria; Pseudomonadati; Spirochaetota; Spirochaetia; Spirochaetales; Spirochaetaceae. The record is from RNAcentral.